Long non-coding RNA from Ostrinia nubilalis (European corn borer), 800 nucleotides. RefSeq lists it as uncharacterized. NCBI's taxonomy places the organism in Eukaryota, Metazoa, Arthropoda, Insecta, Lepidoptera, Crambidae. The transcript is spliced from 2 exons. The record is from RefSeq and is a predicted model, not a curated record.
GCAAUUUAUAGGAACUGUUAAACAGUAUCCCAUACUAUGGAACACCGAGUCGAAGGACUAUCACAACUUGAAUAAAAAGGAGGUUGCUUGGAAGAGGGUAGUGAAGGAAAUCAAUAAUCCAGACAUACCAGAUGUAAAAACUGCGAAGAAUGAGUGGAAGAAAUUACGUGAUAGUCACCGAGAAUCCCUCAAAAGGAUAAAAACGGAUACAAAAAAUCAUUGGAAAUAUGCAGAGAACCUCGAGUUUCUUUUGCCCCACAUGAGGAACCGUAAAAGAACUUUGAAUUUAUCAGUCAAUUAUCAAAAAACUUUGGCAAGUACUUCAACGGAAGUUACAAGUAAUUUGCCAGUUACAUCAACUCAAAAUACUUUGCACGGUACCUCAACCGAGAGAGAAAGUAUGCCAGGUACUUCAACUCAAUAUACCGAGGUUUUGGAAGAAUCUGAACAUUAUGAAAGCGAAAAUGAUGCAGUUUUUUUGCAACAGUGUGGCAAACGGAAGGCUAACGAUGCAGUAGAGGUUAAGAAAAACAAAGACGCUUUGAAUUUGUUUUUCGACAGUAUGUGCGAGUCAACUAAAAAGCUUCCCGAUUGGAUACAAAGAGAUGUAAAGAAGAAGCUUCUACAAAUUGUAUGUGAAGCAGAGGAAACUAAUGAAACUUAUAUGACCACAGAGUACCGUGAAUGCAACUCGUCAUCCGCCUCGACACCAGUGCCUCAAAACGAAGAUAGUAUAGAUAAUUUGUAAUUUAAGUGACUUUUAGGUAUCUUUUUAAUGAAAUACACAAUAAACAUCGAUA